AGCUUUGCGCAGUGGCGAUAUCGUAACCAAUGAGGCUUUAGCGAGGUGCGAUUAUUGCUAGUUGAAAAAAAAAUUCAACAACGUAUAUUAUAGAUGACCUUUUUUCAUUUAAAAGUUCAUGACAGGUUAAAAGACC
This is a small nuclear RNA of Toxorhynchites rutilus septentrionalis, 136 nucleotides long. RefSeq annotates it as U4 spliceosomal RNA. The transcript has a single exon. The record is from RefSeq and is a predicted model, not a curated record. NCBI's taxonomy places the organism in Eukaryota, Metazoa, Arthropoda, Insecta, Diptera, Culicidae.